RNAcentral lists this ribosomal RNA (253 nucleotides) under uncultured bacterium. RNAcentral describes it as "partial 16S ribosomal RNA". It matches the Rfam family "Bacterial small subunit ribosomal RNA", at positions 524 to 776 of the family's 1533-position model. The record is from RNAcentral.
GACGAACCGUGCGAACGUUGUUCGGAAUCACUGGGCUUAAAGGGCGCGUAGGCGGGUUGCCAAGUCUAUGGUGAAAUCCUCCGGCUUAACCGGAGAACUGCCGUGGAUACUGGUGACCUCGAGGGAGGUAGGGGGGUGCGGAACUGUGCGUGGAGCGGUGAAAUGCGUUGAUAUGCACAGGAACUCCGGUGGCGAAGGCGGCACCCUGGACCUCUUCUGACGCUGAGGCGCGAAAGCUAGGGGAGCGAACGGG